RNAcentral lists this long non-coding RNA (646 nucleotides) under Mytilus galloprovincialis (Mediterranean mussel). The record is from RNAcentral. Lineage: Eukaryota; Metazoa; Mollusca; Bivalvia; Mytilida; Mytilidae.
CUUUUUUUUUUGAAAAUAAAAUUAAUAUUGUACCAAGUUUGAAACGGGUAUUUAUUAGCCCAGAAAUGAUCACACUCCAUAAUAAAUACUAGUCGUACUAGUCGUAUUUAUUGUCACAGGAAACGAUAUUUAUAAGGCAAUGAUGUGUUUGUUGUUAACUAUAGUUGCUAUGUCAUCAAUCCGCUUUGUUCAAUCUCAGACCAAACAUGUCUGCAGGUCUACGUAUUAUCAUCCUCUGCGCUUGCCGUUGCCGACGACGCGCUAAGACUGAUUUUUUUAUGAAAAAGUUGACAGCACUUUUCUGCGAUUUAUCCAUCUUGUUUACAUAAACUAAAAAAUCAUCUUAAAGGAAAGACCACGUAUACUGCGUUGGAAAUGAUUGCACGAUGUUCACAUAUCCUCACCCUUACAUUCAGACACAACAGAUACAAUUAUAUAUAUAUAUAUAUUUUUUUUUAAUUUUUUUUUGUCAAAAUGAUGUGGAUGCUUGAGCAUCUGAGCAUACAUGCAAGCUACGCCACUGGUAGGGGGUCAGUAGUUAACCGUAUAACGAAUUUAUCGGACGCUGGUCUUUUUCUGCGGCGUUUUGUUGAAAAAUAAACAAUGAAACACAACAACAUUAAUAGAUGACGUCGCCAUUAACGCG